GCUGGGCGUGGUGGUGGGUGCCUGUAGUCCCAGCUACUUGGGAGGCUGAGGCAGGAGAAUGGUGUGAACCCGGGAGGCAGAGUUUAUAGUGAGCCAAGAUCCCCCCACUGCCCUCCAGCCUGGGCGACAGAGACUCUAUCUCAAANNNNNNNNNNUUUGAGAUAGAGUCUCUGUCGCCCAGGCUGGAGGGCAGUGGGGGGAUCUUGGCUCACUAUAAACUCUGCCUCCCGGGUUCACAUCAUUCCCUGCCUCAG
This 254-nucleotide signal recognition particle RNA is filed under the name Chlorocebus sabaeus (green monkey). RNAcentral describes it as "Metazoan signal recognition particle RNA". It matches the Rfam family "Metazoan signal recognition particle RNA". From Rfam's summary of the family: The signal recognition particle (SRP) is a universally conserved ribonucleoprotein. The record is from Rfam by way of RNAcentral. Lineage: Eukaryota; Metazoa; Chordata; Mammalia; Primates; Cercopithecidae.